This is a non-coding RNA of Caenorhabditis elegans, 21 nucleotides long. NCBI's taxonomy places the organism in Eukaryota, Metazoa, Nematoda, Chromadorea, Rhabditida, Rhabditidae. The record is from Ensembl.
UAAAUUCGGCAUUUUAUUGAG